RNAcentral lists this ribosomal RNA (253 nucleotides) under uncultured bacterium. RNAcentral's name for it is "partial 16S ribosomal RNA". It matches the Rfam family "Bacterial small subunit ribosomal RNA", at positions 524 to 776 of the family's 1533-position model. The record is from RNAcentral.
UACAGAGGGUGCAAGCGUUGCUCGGAAUCAUUGGGCGUAAAGGGUAGGUAGGUGGUUUGUCGCGUCUGCUGUGAAAACCUAAGGCUCAACCUUGGGCUUGCAGUGGGUACGGGCAGACUAGAGUGCGGUAGGGGUGACUGGAAUUCCUGGUGUAGCGGUGGAAUGCGCUGAUAUCAGGAGGAACACCGAUGGCGAAGGCAGGUCACUGGGCCGCAACUGACGCUGAGGAGCGAAAGCAUGGGGAGCGAACAGG